AUCUGGCGGAGUGGUUAUUGAGCAAGACUAGGAACCUUGUUCCUUCGGGAGCACCAGUUCGAAUCUGGUCGACG
This is a non-coding RNA of Trematosphaeria pertusa, 74 nucleotides long. Lineage: Eukaryota; Fungi; Ascomycota; Dothideomycetes; Pleosporales; Trematosphaeriaceae. The record is from the annotation of a RefSeq genome assembly.